UACGGAGGGUGCAAGCGUUACUCGGAAUCACUGGGCGUAAAGCGCGCGCAGGCGGCUAGAUAAGUUGGAAGUGAAAUCCUAUGGCUCAACCAUAGAACUGCUUCCAAAACUGUUUAGCUAGAGUCUGGGAGGGGAAGAUGGAAUUAGUAGUGUAGGGGUAAAAUCCGUAGAGAUUACUAGGAAUACCAAAAGCGAAGGCGAUCUUCUGGAACAGUACUGACGCUGAGGCGCGAAAGCGUGGGGAGCAAACAGGAUUAGAUACCCUGGUAGUCCACGCCCUAAACGAUGAAUGUUAGUCGUCGGGACUCUAGUAGUUUCGGUGAUGCAGUUAACACAUUAAACAUUCCGCCUGGGGAGUACGGUCGCAAGAUUAAAACUCAAAGGAAUAGACGGGGACCCGCACAAGUGGUGGAGCAAAUCUAUAAACCUAAUCUCAGUUCGGAUUGUAGUCUGCAACCCGACUACAUGAAGCUGGAAUCACUAGUAAUCGUAGAUCAGCUAUGCUACGGUGAAUACGU
RNAcentral lists this ribosomal RNA (518 nucleotides) under uncultured Sulfurovum sp. Its description in RNAcentral is "bacterial SSU rRNA". It matches the Rfam family "Bacterial small subunit ribosomal RNA", at positions 524 to 1371 of the family's 1533-position model. Lineage: Bacteria; Pseudomonadati; Campylobacterota; Epsilonproteobacteria; Campylobacterales; Sulfurovaceae. The record is from RNAcentral.